ACCGGUCUGGGGGGCUCUGCAUUUUAAUUUAAUUUUAAAUGAAGUUUCUUGAACAUUUUAAAAACCUUAUUUACUUUACAUACAAUAAUAGUUUAGUUCUAUAUUAUAGACUUAUAGAAAGAGACCUUCUAAAAACGUUAACAUGUAUGACUGGCACAUGAAACCUUAAAUCAGAGUGAAUAAAUGAAGAUUCGGCACCCCACUUCUGAAAGGCUGCCGACCCCUGAACUAGAGCUUCUCACUGAAGCAGUUGUAAGACAUCUGUAACAUGGAUGAUGGAUUUCCCCAUAACCUCAUUCUCAGAAAUAACUGAACUGUUUUGGCUGAAAAUUUCCAGAAAAAUUCAGCCGAAAGCAGAUGCUCAGCCUGGGAAAUUUCAGCCAAAACAGCCUAAGUUUGGUCAAGUUACAAGCAAUUGAAAAUUGUCUUAUCGCGGGAAGCAUGAGGCAACCUUGACUACAGGUGGCAAUGAGCCGCUCCAUCUCCCCAUCAGUGUGGUUUGGCAGGAGCUCAAAAUGGGACAAGCCGCCGCUUCUCCAGUACAGGUGACACCCACCUGUACACCCUGCUGCCUAGACCGGACAGGGACAUGGCAGCCCCUGGUGACUAGGAGGUGGCACUGAAUGCCUCCAGCAGGCCCUCAGCCCCAUCUCCUGUGCAUGGGGUGUGAAGUGGGGGCAUAACCAGCUGACUGUACCACAGUCCCUUGCACCCCCUCCCCCAACAAGGGCUGGAAGCCCCCUGGCUGGCACUGUUGAAAGCUGGCCUGGGCAGGGCACACUGCCAGGCUGGGCUAUCCCCAGUGGGUCGGUUCAGUCCCAGGCCGGUGGGAGCGCGUUGCCCUUUUAAGAGGGGACUCUCCAUGCCUCAGUGAACUCAGGCGACUUGGCAUUUCCAUUGUUGCUGCGGCUGGGGCCGGAGCCCGGGGCUGGGCGCUCCUCGCACUCCCUGCGGCAGAGUUUGGAGGGGAAGGAGGCAGGACCCGGCCCAGGCAGGUGGCCGGAGCCGGGAUGGGCGCAGAGAGCAGCCCGGGGCCGGCACAGGAGAGCUGGGUCCCCCUGCUCCUCUGCCUGGCUGGGGGCGCGAGGCAGAGGCAUUGCACUCGUCCCGGCCGGAGUCAGAAGGGAUUUGAGCCACUCAGCAAGGAGAUGAGCGCCCCGUCCUGGAACAGGUUCCUUGGCAAGGGAUUAGUUACCCC
This 1198-nucleotide long non-coding RNA is filed under the name Chrysemys picta bellii (western painted turtle). RNAcentral's name for it is "lncRNA (ENSCPBG00000025711.1)". Lineage: Eukaryota; Metazoa; Chordata; Testudines; Emydidae. The record is from RNAcentral.